GAAACGACUCCAGUCUAGGGAAAGAUUGGAAAGUGGAAGAUUUAUAAUUAUUUUUAGCGAUGAAAAAAAUCAUAUUUGUUUUAUUUUUUGUGGUGGCCUCGGUUUUCGCUAGGCAAGAUUUUUUCGUAGAUGGGGAUUCCAUCGUUAUAAAAGCAGGGGAUGAAUCGUCCCCUCAAAGAAUGAGACGCACUGUUGUAGAAGACACUUCGGCUGAAGGAUAUGACGCCAUCGUUUUGUCCUCGAAAUGUACCACGACCCGCGGAAAGCGGGGGACAUGUCGAAAAAUUGAGGAGUGUUACCCAUUCCUAUUUCCGCUGAAUAAAACGGUGGAACAACACGUGACCACGAUGAACCCCGAGUUGGCCCAUAUUCUUAUCCAGAUUUCUGGAAUUUGCGACAUGGAGACGUCCGGUGCAGAUCGGAUUUCACCACAGAAUUUUAGGCAAGUCCUCACCGCAGAAUUUCUUAUCUGUUGUCCGCAUCGGAACCCAAUUUAUCCCCCAACCCCCGUGGAACCGGGGGACGUGGUGGAAGAAGAGUCGGUCAAGGGAAAACGAACGUGUGGCCAAGUUCAAGUGCAUUUGGGCGAAGAAAAUAAUAACCCGGUAGUUCCUGGCAAUGAAACUGAUCUUGAAGAGGGGGCGACACGUAUCGUGGGGGGAAGAGAGGCAAAAAUGCAUGAAUUUCCGUGGAUUGUGGCUUUGAUGAACAAACGGCGACAAUUUUGCGGAGGUUCGAUCAUCAAUAAUGAAUGGGUCCUUACAGCCGCGCAUUGUAUCCAGCACAUGUCGGCGAGUGAUGUGGCAAAUUUGCAGUUGGUCUUUGGCGACCACGAUAUUUCGAACCCGAACGAUGCCCCCAUUCAGACCAGGAAGGCGUACAUGGUCCUGUACAACAAGCACUUUACGAUGGAUAAAUUGCAAAAUGACAUCGGUCUAAUAAAGCUGUCGAGUCCGGUCGAAUAUGGCAAAACCAUUCAACCCGUCUGCCUCCACAGCGGCGAAAGGAGUUCGAUCGACAAGAAGACUGGCGACAUAGCUGGGUGGGGCCAACUUUGUGAAGGAUGCCAACAACCAAGUAAAUUAAGAACGGCGCAGGUAAACAUUUGGAAGCAUGAGGAUUGUAAAAAGAAAUAUGCGAGCAUCAUCGAAAUUACGGAAGGGAUGGUUUGCUCUGGUGGAAAAGGACAGGAUAGUUGCAGGGGCGAUUCGGGAGGAAGUCUGACAAUAAACUCAAAGACGACGGCUGAGCAAGUUGGACUCGUCUCCUUUGGUGUUGAAUUACAACUUAUGGUUUCUACUGAAAUAAUAAUUUGGCAAGAAAAAAUCAUCCAAAUUUCACAUUUUAGUCCGAGUCGGGGCUUACCUAGCCGUCGUGGUUAUCUGUCUGUCUAUCGAUUACGCUCGUAAAAUUGAUCCAAUCGACUUGAAAUUUAGAGACACGUUACAAAAUUAGAAAUCAAUUUUUACCAAUAAAAAAUCCCUCUUGAAAAAAAAUUGUUGAAAUUUGUAAGAUGAAGACGCCAAAGUAUAUUUCUUAUUUACAAUUUUAAUACAUUCAAUUUCAUCAGAUCGUGUUUCUUCAACCCAGAAUUUGGACAAAAAUUUUUUUUUUUCAAUAAAGCUUAGAAGAUAUGAAAUAUUUUAAAAAAGCUUUCAUAAAUAUGUACAUAUAUUCGUCCUCGGGAAAUUACAAUUUCUAUUUAUACUGAAAUAACGCUUCGGCAGAAAAUGUCCCAAACUUAGGAUUAGUCCGAGUCAUGGCUUAUGUGCCCGUCGUCUGCCUGUCUUCAGAUUAAACUCGUUUUAAAACUUAUAAAAUCGACUUGAAAUUUUGGAGACACUCAAAACAUGCAAAAUUAUGAAGCAAAUUGGAAGUUGAGGAAAAUGUGUAGAAAAAUGAAAAAGCUGUCGAGGUCGUGUUCAGGGUGUGGGCAAACUCCAGGCGUUUAUACGCGUGUCAGUCACUAUAAAGAUUGGAUAAGUCGAAACACUAAAAAAUCCAGUAACAAUAAAAGACCGUAAUGAAUGACUUCUACAUAUUUUUCAUGAUGCCUACCACCACCUGGAAAUUAUUAAAUAAAGAAUAAUUAAUUUGGAUUACACGGAAUUUUUUUAUUUUGCCAAUAUUUGUAAUGCUACGUAUGUGCAAUUCAUUAUAAAAAAAAGUCGAAAAAAUUAUCACAAAGAUUUGUUUGAAGGAGAUAAUAAAGAAUUUUGAUUUAAUUAUUGAAGUUCAA
RNA transcript from Folsomia candida, 2239 nucleotides. It is a transcript of the gene named trypsin-1, with no coding region annotated. NCBI's taxonomy places the organism in Eukaryota, Metazoa, Arthropoda, Collembola, Entomobryomorpha, Isotomidae. The transcript is spliced from 13 exons. The record is from RefSeq and is a predicted model, not a curated record.